GAUUGGUCAAUAAGAGAAAAGACUUGAUAUGUAUCUGACAAGUGAAAUAAAGUUGAUAAAAAUCUCAUAUCAAGACUUGGGUUUCUUUAAGAUAUAUAGGAGUUACAGCAAUGCAUUCUCAAGAAGGAGGAGAUUAAUGAAUCCUCCCCACUUACAAUGAACAACACAUGGUCACUCUCAGGAUGGUCCCUUUGCUUUCAUUAAGAGUUCCAAGAUGUGUGUCUGAUUGACUGGGGUGUGAAAUGUAACAGCCAAUGGUGUACUUAAGCUAGGACUGUCAGUCCCAAUAUU
Long non-coding RNA from Saccostrea cuccullata (small rock oyster), 291 nucleotides. RefSeq lists it as uncharacterized. The record is from RefSeq and is a predicted model, not a curated record. The transcript has 3 exons. Lineage: Eukaryota; Metazoa; Mollusca; Bivalvia; Ostreida; Ostreidae.